CCUACGGGUCGCACCAGUGGGGAAUAGUGGACAAUGGGCGAAAGCCUGAUCCAGCAAUGCCGCGUGUGUGAAGAAGGUCUUCGGAUUGUAAAGCACUUUCGACGGGGACGAUGAUGACGGUACCCGUAGAAGAAGCCCCGGCUAACCUCGGGCCAGCAGCCGCGGUAAUACGAAGGGGGCUAGCGUUGCUCGGAAUGACUGGGCGUAAAGGGCGCGUAGGCGGUUUAUGCAGUCAGAUGUGAAAUCCCCGGGCUUAACCUGGGAACUGCAUUUGAGACGCAUAGACUAGAGGUCGAGAGAGGGUUGUAGAAUUCCCAGUGUAGAGGUGAAAUUCGUAGAUAUUGGGAAGAACACUGGUGGCGAAGGCGGCAACCUGGCUCGAUACUGACGCUGAGGCGCGAAGGCGCGGGGAGCAAACAGGAUUAGAUACCCGUGUAGUC
Molecule: ribosomal RNA, 440 nt
Filed under: uncultured bacterium
Lineage: Bacteria
Description: bacterial SSU rRNA
Rfam family: Bacterial small subunit ribosomal RNA
Source: RNAcentral